AGAGUUUGAUCAUGGCUCAGGAUGAACGCUGGCGGUAUGCCUUAUACAUGCAAGUCGUACGAGAGUUUUUAACUCAAGUGGCGGACGGGUGAGUAACACGUAAGAAUUUGCCUUUAGGAGGGGGAUAACAACUGGAAACGGUUGCUAAUACCCCAUAUGCUUUCGAGUGAAAUGGAUUUCCGCCUAAAGAGAAGCUUGCGGCUGAUUAGCUUGUUGGUGGGGUAAUGGCCUACCAAGGCGACGAUCAGUAUCUGGUUUGAGAGGACGAUCAGACACACUGGAACUGAGACACGGUCCAGACUCCUACGGGAGGCAGCAGUAGGGAAUUUUCCGCAAUGGGCGAAAGCCUGACGGAGCAAUACCGCGUGAGGGAUGACUGCCUAUGGGUUGUAAACCUCUUUUUUCAGGGAGGAACAAAAUGACGUGUACCUGAAGAAUAAGCAUCGGCUAACUCCGUGCCAGCAGCCGCGGUAAGACGGAGGAUGCAAGUGUUAUCCGGAAUCACUGGGCGUAAAGCGUCUGUAGGUGGCUUGAUAAGUCAACUGUUAAAUCUUGAAGCUCAACUUCAAAAUCGCAGUCGAAACUAUCAGACUAGAGUAUAGUAGAGGUAAAGGGAAUUUCCAGUGGAGCGGUGAAAUGCGUAGAGAUUGGAAAGAACACCGAUGGCGAAGGCACUUUACUGGGCUAUUACUGGCACUCAGAGACGAAAGCUAGGGUAGCAAAUGGGAUUAGAUACCCCAGUAGUCCUAGCCGUAAACAAUGGAUACUAGGUGUUGAACAGAUCGACCUGUGCAGUACUAAAGCUAACGCGUUAAGUAUCCCGCCUGGGAAGUAUGCUCGCAAGAGUGAAACUCAAAGGA
This 860-nucleotide ribosomal RNA is filed under the name uncultured bacterium. RNAcentral describes it as "bacterial SSU rRNA". It matches the Rfam family "Bacterial small subunit ribosomal RNA", at positions 8 to 908 of the family's 1533-position model. The record is from RNAcentral.